This 424-nucleotide ribosomal RNA is filed under the name uncultured Blautia sp. RNAcentral's name for it is "bacterial SSU rRNA". It matches the Rfam family "Bacterial small subunit ribosomal RNA", at positions 355 to 794 of the family's 1533-position model. Lineage: Bacteria; Bacillati; Bacillota; Clostridia; Lachnospirales; Lachnospiraceae. The record is from RNAcentral.
UAGGGAAUAUUGCACAAUGGGGGAAACCCGUGAUGCAGCGACGCCGCGUGAAGGAAGAAGUAUCUCGGUAUGUAAACUUCUAUCAGCAGGGAAGAAAAUGACGGUACCUGACUAAGAAGCCCCGGCUAACUACGUGCCAGCAGCCGCGGUAAUACGUAGGGGGCGAAGCGUUAUCCGGAUUUACUGGGUGUAAAGGGAGCGUAGACGGAGCUGCAAGUCUGAUGUGAAAGGCUGGGGCUUAACCCCGGGACUGCUUUGGAAACUGCCCGGCUAGAGUGCAGGAGGGGCAAGCGGAAUUCCUAGUGUAGCGGUGAAAUGCGUAGAUAUUAGGAGGAACACCAGUGGCGAAGGCGGCUUACUGGACGACAACUGACGCUGAGGCUCGAAAGCGUGGGGAGCAAACAGGAUUAGAUACCCUGGUAGU